RNAcentral lists this ribosomal RNA (468 nucleotides) under uncultured bacterium. RNAcentral's name for it is "partial 16S ribosomal RNA". It matches the Rfam family "Bacterial small subunit ribosomal RNA", at positions 28 to 507 of the family's 1533-position model. The record is from RNAcentral.
GACGAACGCUGGCGGCGGGCUUAACACAUGCAAGUCGAACGGAAAGGCCCUGCUUUUGUGGGGUUCUCGAGUGGCGAACGCGUGAGUAACACGUGAGUAACCUGCCCUUGACUUUGGGAUAACUUCAGGAAACUGGGGCUAAUACCGGAUAGGAGCUCCUGCUGCAUGGUGGGGGUUGGAAAGUUUAGGCUGUUGGGGAUGGAUUCGCGGCUUAUCAGCUUGUUGGUGGGGUAGUGGCUUACCAAGGCUUUGACGGGUAGCCGGCAUGAGAGGGUGGCCGGCCACAUUGGGACUGAGAGACGGCCCAGUGUCCUACGGGAGGCAGCAGUGGGGAAUAUUGCACAAUGGGCGCAAGCCUGAUGAAGCAACGCCGCGUGCGGGAUGACGGCCUUCGGGGUGUAAACCGCUUUCGACUGUGACGAAGCGGGAGUGACGGUAAUGAGUAAAGAAGCACCGGCUAACUACGUG